RNAcentral lists this ribosomal RNA (384 nucleotides) under Triticum aestivum (bread wheat). RNAcentral's name for it is "partial small subunit ribosomal RNA". Lineage: Eukaryota; Viridiplantae; Streptophyta; Magnoliopsida; Poales; Poaceae. The record is from RNAcentral.
AUGUUGGGAGAACGCGCUAUAGCUAAAGUAGCUACAACGCUUUUGCAGAAACGCGGUGCUUCUAUUGCUCUCAUUUUUUCUUUUUCUUUAAUUUUCCUUUUCUUUUUUCCUUUUCUUUUUUCCUUUCUUUUUUUCCUUUCUUUUCCUUUUGUUAGUUGCAGCACUGUCGCCCUAAAACGUGCUGCUACUAUUUUGUUAGCGGUAGCGCGGUCCUUAGAAGCGCGCUCCUACUAUACCAAGCCUGGCAGCAACCGUUCUGUUCGUCGUAGUAGCAACGCGUUUUGUGGUGCACGCGCUACUGCUAUCUUUGUAGUAGUAGAGUGCUGCCCUUACACGCGUUACUGCUAUGUAGCAGUAGCGCUUCGCUUUAACAAGCGCUACUGA